AUUGAACGCUGGCGGCAGGCUUAACACAUGCAAGUCGAGCGGGGGAAGGUAGCUUGCUACCGGACCUAGCGGCGGACGGGUGAGUAAUGCUUAGGAAUCUGCCUAUUAGUGGGGGACAACACCUCGAAAGGGAUGCUAAUACCGCAUACGUCCUACGGGAGAAAGCAGGGGAUCUUCGGACCUUGCGCUAAUAUAUGAGCCUAAGUCGGAUUAGCUAGUUGGUGGGGUAAAGGCCUACCAAGGGGACGAUCUGUAGCGGGUCUGAGAGGAUGAUCCGCCACACUGGGACUGAGACACGGCCCAGACUCCUACGGGAGGCAGCAGUGGGGAAUAUUGGACAAUGGGGGGAACCCUGAUCCAGCCAUGCCGCGUGUGUGAAGAAGGCCUUAUGGUUGUAAAGCACUUUAAGCGAGGAGGAGGCUACUUUAGUUAAUACCUAGAGAUAGUGGACGUUACUCGCAGAAUAAGCACCGGCUAACUCUGUGCCAGCCGCCGCCGUAA
RNAcentral lists this ribosomal RNA (501 nucleotides) under uncultured bacterium. Its description in RNAcentral is "partial 16S ribosomal RNA". It matches the Rfam family "Bacterial small subunit ribosomal RNA", at positions 30 to 523 of the family's 1533-position model. The record is from RNAcentral.